RNAcentral lists this unclassified non-coding RNA (183 nucleotides) under Nosema bombycis. RNAcentral describes it as "ITS". Lineage: Eukaryota; Fungi; Microsporidia; Nosematidae. The record is from RNAcentral.
CCUUCACGUGGUACAGAAUGUAUUGAUGAUGGUUCAUUAAUCUAAAAUUAUAUAGACUUUUUUUACUUUUUAUAUUCAUAUUGUGUAUUGUUGUUUUAAUUUUGAUUAUUAUAUUUUAUCAUUCUUUUUUAUUAUUAUUUUCUGGUUGUAUUAUCGUAUUUUCACCUAUAAAUAAGUUGUAAA